This 112-nucleotide ribosomal RNA is filed under the name Caerostris darwini. The record is from RNAcentral. Lineage: Eukaryota; Metazoa; Arthropoda; Arachnida; Araneae; Araneidae.
ACAGCCGUACCAUGCUGAAUAUACCGGUUCUCGUUAGAUCACCAAAGUUAAGCAUCAUUGGGCGCGGUCAGUACUUGGGAGGGUGGACCACCUGGGAACACUGCGUGCCGUU